RNAcentral lists this small RNA (1288 nucleotides) under Pan troglodytes (chimpanzee). Its description in RNAcentral is "retained intron". The record is from RNAcentral. Lineage: Eukaryota; Metazoa; Chordata; Mammalia; Primates; Hominidae.
UUUUACUUCAUAAUCCCGUGAUACAUUAAUUUGGAUCUUCCAGCAAAACAAGAUAAUGUGGAAACUUUUUAGAUAUUUUUAAAGAAGCAAGCUAAUUUAUUUUCAAAGGCUAAUUUAUAAUUUAUUUUGGAUUUUGAAGAAAAAAAAAUCCAAGCAGAGUUUGUUCCAUUGUUGAAGCAUUCUUUUUCUAUUGUAAGAAAAGCCUUCAUUUUUUAAUUUUAUGUCAGAAUUUCUUAUGAUUGUGAAACUCUUACAUUUUUUAAAUAAAUUGUCUUCGUUGUAAAACUUGAGUAAAGAAAAGCUUUAAUGAAUUUGCAAAAAAAUAUAUAUUCUUAAAGAUAGAUAUACUUUUUUUAAAUUCUUGUUUUAAUUCUACCUCAUAAUUGCUUUGUCAGGUAAAUCUCGAUUUAAACACCAAGUUUUCUUACAGUUUUUUUUUCACCAUCGGAAUAACCUGGAUAUAAAUGUUGUGAUUAGACAAGUUUAUCAUCUCAUGGAGACCACGCCUACUGACAUUCAUCCAGACAGCAUGCUUAAUGUUUUUGUUGCACUGACAAAAGGGCAGUAUCCAGUAUUUAAUCAAUAUCCAAAGUUUAUUGUGGACUAUCAAACACAGGAACGAGAAAGAAUAAGGAAUGAUGAACUGGAUUACUUAAGAGAGAGGCAGACAGUUGAAGAUAUGCAAGCUAAAGUCGACCAGCAAAGAGUUGAAGAUGAAGCUUGGUACCAGAAACAGGAGCUGCUUCGUAAAGCUGAAGAAACAAGAAGAGAAAUGCUCUUACAAGAGGAGGAGAAAAUGAUACAACAAAGACAGAGGCUAGCUGCUGUGAAAAGAGAGCUGAAAGUAAAGGAAAUGCACUUACAAGAUGCUGCAAGAAGGCGUUUUCUGAAGCUUCAGCAAGAUCAACAGGAAAUGGAACUAAGAAGACUGGAUGAUGAAAUUGGGAGAAAGAAUCUUACUGAAAAUCAAGAAGCUGUUGCAAAAGAAAUGCGAGCAGAUGCAGAUGCCUAUAGACGAAAAGUGGAUCUUGAAGAACACAUGUUUCAUAAGCUGAUAGAAGCAGGUGAAACCCAGAGCCAGAAAACUCAGAAGGUGAUUAAAGAAAAUUUGGCAAAGGCUGAACAAGCAUGCCUAAAUACUGACUGGCAGAUUCAGUCUUUACAUAAACAAAAAUGUGAUGAUCUACAACGAAACAAAUGUUACCAAGAAGUAGCCAAACUCCUUAGGGAAAACAGAAGGAAAGAAAUAGAGAUAAUAAAUGCAAUGGUGGAGGAGGAAGCCAAGAAG